CAAUAGCGUAUAUUUAAGUUGUUGCAGUUAAAAAGCUCGUAGUCGGAUUUUGGCUGAGAACGAUCGGUCCGCCGUUAGGUGUGCACUGAUUGGUCUCAGCUUCCUGGUGAGGAGGUGUGCUUCACGGCCACUUAGUCACCGUGGUUACUUUGAAAAAAUUAGAGUGUUCAAAGCGGGCUUACGCUUGAAUAUAUUAGCAUGGAAUAACACCAUAGGACUCCUGUCCUAUUUCGUUGGUCUCGGGACGGGAGUAAUGAUUAAGAGGAACAGUUGGGGGCAUUCGUAUUUCAUUGUCAGAGGUGAAAUUCUUGGAUUUAUGAAAGACGAACUUCUGCGAAAGCAUUUGCCAAGGAUGCUUUCAUUGA
This 365-nucleotide ribosomal RNA is filed under the name uncultured eukaryote. Its description in RNAcentral is "partial 18S ribosomal RNA". It matches the Rfam family "Eukaryotic small subunit ribosomal RNA", at positions 592 to 976 of the family's 1831-position model. The record is from RNAcentral.